GUCUAUUACGGUGAUAUUUAUAGUCUAGCCUGCUCAGUGACAUAAAAGUGUUAAAUAGCCGCGGUAUCCUGACCGUGCAAAGGUAGCAUAAUCAUUAGUUUUUUAAUUGGAAACUAGAAUGAAUGGUUGGACAAGAAAAAAACUGUCUCUUUUAUUAAAAUUGAAAUUAACUUUUAAGUGAAAAGGCUUAAAAUUUACUAAGGGGACGAUAAGACCCUAUAAAGCUUUAUAAAUUCAGAGAUUUUAGAUAUUUUAUAUAUAAAUUUAUUUUUUGAUAAUUUAUUUGGUUGGGGCGACAAGGGUAUAAUUAUAAAUAACUGCCAUUAAUGUUUAUACAUAUAUUUUUGAUUUAAAUUUGAUAUAGUAGUUGAUCCUUUUUAAGGAUUUAAAGAUCAAGUUACUUUAGGGAUAACAGCGUAAUUUCUUCUGAGAGUUCUUAUCAAAGAAGAAGUUUGCGACCUCGAUGUUGAAUUAAAAUGUCUUUAUAGUGCAGCAGCUAUAAAAGAAGGUCUGUUCGACCUUUAAUUUUUU
RNAcentral lists this ribosomal RNA (531 nucleotides) under Monomia gladiator. RNAcentral's name for it is "partial large subunit ribosomal RNA". It matches the Rfam family "Archaeal large subunit ribosomal RNA", at positions 1921 to 2666 of the family's 2987-position model. Lineage: Eukaryota; Metazoa; Arthropoda; Malacostraca; Decapoda; Portunidae. The record is from RNAcentral.